This 1131-nucleotide ribosomal RNA is filed under the name Salmonella enterica. RNAcentral describes it as "bacterial SSU rRNA". It matches the Rfam family "Bacterial small subunit ribosomal RNA", at positions 1 to 1126 of the family's 1533-position model. Lineage: Bacteria; Pseudomonadati; Pseudomonadota; Gammaproteobacteria; Enterobacterales; Enterobacteriaceae. The record is from RNAcentral.
GAAGAGUUUGAUCAUGGCUCAGAUUGAACGCUGGCGGCAGGCCUAACACAUGCAAGUCGAACGGUAACAGGAAGCAGCUUGCUGCUUUGCUGACGAGUGGCGGACGGGUGAGUAAUGUCUGGGAAACUGCCUGAUGGAGGGGGAUAACUACUGGAAACGGUGGCUAAUACCGCAUAACGUCGCAAGACCAAAGAGGGGGACCUUCGGGCCUCUUGCCAUCAGAUGUGCCCAGAUGGGAUUAGCUUGUUGGUGAGGUAACGGCUCACCAAGGCGACGAUCCCUAGCUGGUCUGAGAGGAUGACCAGCCACACUGGAACUGAGACACGGUCCAGACUCCUACGGGAGGCAGCAGUGGGGAAUAUUGCACAAUGGGCGCAAGCCUGAUGCAGCCAUGCCGCGUGUAUGAAGAAGGCCUUCGGGUUGUAAAGUACUUUCAGCGGGGAGGAAGGUGUUGUGGUUAAUAACCGCAGCAAUUGACGUUACCCGCAGAAGAAGCACCGGCUAACUCCGUGCCAGCAGCCGCGGUAAUACGGAGGGUGCAAGCGUUAAUCGGAAUUACUGGGCGUAAAGCGCACGCAGGCGGUCUGUCAAGUCGGAUGUGAAAUCCCCGGGCUCAACCUGGGAACUGCAUUCGAAACUGGCAGGCUUGAGUCUUGUAGAGGGGGGUAGAAUUCCAGGUGUAGCGGUGAAAUGCGUAGAGAUCUGGAGGAAUACCGGUGGCGAAGGCGGCCCCCUGGACAAAGACUGACGCUCAGGUGCGAAAGCGUGGGGAGCAAACAGGAUUAGAUACCCUGGUAGUCCACGCCGUAAACGAUGUCUACUUGGAGGUUGUGCCCUUGAGGCGUGGCUUCCGGAGCUAACGCGUUAAGUAGACCGCCUGGGGAGUACGGCCGCAAGGUUAAAACUCAAAUGAAUUGACGGGGGCCCGCACAAGCGGUGGAGCAUGUGGUUUAAUUCGAUGCAACGCGAAGAACCUUACCUGGUCUUGACAUCCACAGAACUUUCCAGAGAUGGAUUGGUGCCUUCGGGAACUGUGAGACAGGUGCUGCAUGGCUGUCGUCAGCUCGUGUUGUGAAAUGUUGGGUUAAGUCCCGCAACGAGCGCAACCCUUAUCCUUUGUUGCCAGCGAUU